AUAAAUUUGCUGAGGUAGUGACAAAAAUUACCGAUAUCGGACUUCGGUUCGACAAUUGGAAUGGGGUGGGUGCAAAUAGCCCGCCGAGCAACCAUUAGAGGGCAAGUCUGGUGCCAGCAGCCGCGGUAAUUCCAGCUCUAAUAGUGUAUACUAACGUUGCUGAUGUUAAAAAGCUCGUAGUUGGAUUGUAGAUGGAGCUAUUCGUCCUUGUGAUUUUUGUCGGCUCGGGUUUGCUGGUUAGUUGCCUGCUUUUCUGCCGUGGGUUGUUUCAAGAUCCCGGUGGGGGAGGGGUGCUGGUUGGCGCCGGGUUGGCCGCAGGGAUUGCUUCGUCAAUUUUAUUUUUUUCGAAUUGUCACGGUCUUCUUCACUGAGGUACGGUGACGGUCCGGAAGGUUUACUUUGAAGAAAAUGGAGUGUUCAAAG
This 423-nucleotide ribosomal RNA is filed under the name Pyrsonympha grandis. RNAcentral describes it as "bacterial SSU rRNA". It matches the Rfam family "Eukaryotic small subunit ribosomal RNA", at positions 450 to 780 of the family's 1831-position model. Lineage: Eukaryota; Preaxostyla; Oxymonadida; Pyrsonymphidae. The record is from RNAcentral.